This is a non-coding RNA of Parasteatoda tepidariorum (common house spider), 777 nucleotides long. Lineage: Eukaryota; Metazoa; Arthropoda; Arachnida; Araneae; Theridiidae. The record is from RefSeq and is a predicted model, not a curated record.
UGAAGAUCGAAGUUACAGUACUUAUUCAAAGGUAAAAGUUGAAGUAAAUGUUUACAUGUUGCACUAUAUUAUCUAUAAAUUGAAGUAGAAGUUAACAAAAUAUAUUGAUUGAUGGAUUGAUAAUUAUAGCAAACUAAAAAAUUCAAAAUUUGUUCAGAGCUGCUGAUUAGCUGCUCAUAAGUUUAAUAUCAAAUUUAAUGGUAGUAGUUUUUCUAAUUGCAGAAAUCUUCCAGCUCCCACUGGAAGUUGUGAGUUAUCUCAGCAUCUGCUAAUUAUUAUAAACUAAACUGGUUUCUAAUCAAAAUUAUAAGAGCACCACAAAGAGCGAAAACAACCAAUGGAUUUAUCAACUAUAACUCGAAAGCUGCUGAAUCAUUGUUCUGUUAAGGACUUGGAUGGAGACAAAUUGGUGUAGAUUUCUCAUCUAUAUAAUGGUGAACAUGGUGAAUUCUUUGUGUAUUGGAACUGACGAAACUGUUUUAAGAAAAAUUGUACAUAGAUGUGAAAGCUUAUGUGGUAAAAGGAAAAUAAAGUCUUAGUUUACGAUUUGGAUGAUAAAACACUAAAACCAUCAUCUGAUGAUUUUAAACAUUUGCUUUUUACUCUACCAGUUACAGUCAUCUCAGGGGACCACUACUUUAAAGAUGCUGACUAAUUAUAACCUCAUUAGCAUGCAGAGAAGGGGUACUUGUCUCAGACAAAGGAGGCAUCUAGUUGACUUUAAGAUUGGUAAGUAUACCAAUCUUAUAUCUGUUUCCAAAUUACUAAUAUACAUUU